GUCUACAGCCAUACCACCCUGAACUCACCUGAUCUCGUCUGAUCUCAGAAGCUAAGCAGGAUCGGGCCUGGUUAGUACUUGGAUGGGGAGAAAUAAGGAGAUGACCACA
This 109-nucleotide ribosomal RNA is filed under the name Prolemur simus (greater bamboo lemur). Lineage: Eukaryota; Metazoa; Chordata; Mammalia; Primates; Lemuridae. The record is from RNAcentral.